This is a non-coding RNA of Leptonychotes weddellii (Weddell seal), 1725 nucleotides long. The record is from RefSeq and is a predicted model, not a curated record. Lineage: Eukaryota; Metazoa; Chordata; Mammalia; Carnivora; Phocidae.
CCGAACCCACGCUCACCCUCCCCGGCUGCAGGAGACCGACCGGCUGCCGCGCUCGGCUCCCACCCCCUCUCCAGCUGCCCGUCCCACCGGCCUCCUAGCACGGCCCCCCGGGGGCGGCGGGGCCUGAGCCCCCUUGCAGAGCUGGGCGAACUGAGCCCGAGACGCCCUGGAUGCUCACACAGGCUGGAGGGCGGGAUCUUCCAGCGCUUCGCGUAGGCUCGGGGCGCUCCGGUUUCCCCCCAGAUCCAACCUGGCCUAGGGCUUUAGGUGGAGGAAUCCCCGAGCACAGCCCCCUGCACUUAGGGGCUUCACAGAUGGACUUCGAGGGUCUGACAGCGCCCCCUUCUUCCCCCGGAAUAGAAGACAAAAUCACCUACAUACAUUUUUUUUUUCCUUGGGAGAGUAUUCAUGGCUUUCGUUAGAACCUCAAGAGGGUACUGGAUGCAUCUGCUCCAUCCCCCCUAGACUCUGGGCACCUGGGAGCAGAGUCGCAUGGGGUCUCUCUGGCUCAGUGGGUUGGAAGUAUCAUCACCUUCAGGAAACUUUUCUGGAAAAAUCCUAUCCGACCCGCAAAUACCAGCAAACCCCUGAUCCACUCCUUACCCCCUACAAUCCUCAGUGUCAGCUGUUAUAUCCAGGGACGGCCAGCUUCCUCCUCCUGCCACCCUGCCUCCCCCGCAGUCUGGUUAAAUGGAAGGGCCAUGGGCUUGGUUCUUCACUGAGUGCCAGGACUGGCUCCUUGCUGAGGGCCGUUUGCACCCUACUGACUCCUGCUUACACCUGGAAGUGAGAGAAAUCCAUAAAUGGCCCAUCUUGGACCAUCGAUGGGUGGCCUACAUCCUGGAAAUACUUGAGGAGCAAGCAAACCAGAUCUAACAGCGAGUGAACCCCCACAUCAUCGCCUUCCUAGCCAGAGUGUGCAGAGUGGACUGGCAGGCUCGGUCUGAGGUCAGCAUGGGGUGAGUGGCAGACAGCUUGGUGCCAAGGACUGUACCCACGUGACCCGGCCACCCUACCCCACAUGAAUGCCAACGGCGGAGAUGGGAUCCUGUCCUUGUCUGGGGAUGCAACACCCCCUUAAAUCACCCUGAAAAUACUUACCCGUUAUGGAAAGUUUUCUUGUAUCUUCUGUGUCUGAAGUUACUUCUCUUUCUUGAGGAGCAUUGUCCCUGCCCCUAUGUACUUAGCUUUGUUUCCUUUUCACACCAGAAGCUUUUGUCAAAUGUCUGACGGUCUUUGACUUUCCAUAUUUAAGAGUGAGGCUGGACUGGUCAGUUGGCAGAUUUCAUUUCCUUUGGGAAGGGAGCCUGGGUCACAAGGGGUGGGGGACUCCAAGUAACGGAGGUGGCAGCCGCUUCUUUGGGGUCGUUGAACCUUCUGAUUGGGGAUGGAUCCCUGGCUGCCCCAUGUGUUGCUUAGGGAUCUGCUGUCCCUACGCUGUUGGCCAAUCCUUCUCUUGUCAGCCACAGCACCACCUCCAGCCUCCUCUACGCGGUCCAACCCUGUGGUCUCUCUGAGGCCUGAGCCCCGCUGUGGUUCUGCUGGGAUGAUGUGGGGCCUUCCCAGCCGCCUCCCACUCUGUCCUCCCUCUUCAUCGGGGACCACUCUUCUCCAUGUCCACCGCUAUCUACUCGCCGAAAAUGUUCAUCAGUGCUGGCCUCCCUCCUGUUCUCUUCCUCAUUAGGAGAGUGUACUUUUCAGGCGCCUGGGUGGCUCAGUGGGUUA